UUACUGUUCUGGGCUACACACGUGCUACAAUGGCCGGUACAGACGGACGCAAAGCCGCGAGGUGGAGCAAAUCCUAAAAAGACCGGUCUCAGUUCGGAUUGCAGGCUGCAAUUCGCCUGCAUGAAGUCGGAAUCGCUAGUAAUCGCAGGUCAGCAUACUGCGGUGAAUACGUUCCCGGGCCUU
This 183-nucleotide ribosomal RNA is filed under the name uncultured Bacillus sp. RNAcentral's name for it is "partial 16S ribosomal RNA". It matches the Rfam family "Bacterial small subunit ribosomal RNA", at positions 1201 to 1382 of the family's 1533-position model. The record is from RNAcentral. Lineage: Bacteria; Bacillati; Bacillota; Bacilli; Caryophanales; Bacillaceae.